This 429-nucleotide ribosomal RNA is filed under the name Bacteroidota bacterium. RNAcentral describes it as "Bacteroidetes bacterium partial 16S ribosomal RNA". It matches the Rfam family "Bacterial small subunit ribosomal RNA", at positions 355 to 776 of the family's 1533-position model. The record is from RNAcentral. Lineage: Bacteria; Pseudomonadati; Bacteroidota.
UAGGGAAUCUUCCGCAAUGGACGCAAGUCUGACGGAGCAACGCCGCGUGAGUGAAGAAGGAUUUCGGUUCGUAAAACUCUGUUGUUAGAGAAGAACAGCGCAUAGAGUAACUGUUAUGCGUGUGACGGUAUCUAACCAGAAAGCCACGGCUAACUACGUGCCAGCAGCCGCGGUAAUACGUAGGUGGCAAGCGUUGUCCGGAUUUAUUGGGCGUAAAGCGAGCGCGGGCGGUCAAUUAAGUCUGAUGUGAAAGCCCCCGGCUCAACCGGGGAGGGUCAUUGGAAACUGGUUGACUUGAGUGCAGAAGAGGGGAGUGGAAUUCCAUGUGUAGCGGUGAAAUGCGUAGAUAUAUGGAGGAACACCGGUGGCGGAAGCGGCUCUCUGGUCUGUAGCUGACGCUGAGGCUCGAAAGCGUGGGGAGCGAACAGG